This is a long non-coding RNA of Heterocephalus glaber (naked mole-rat), 1263 nucleotides long. RefSeq lists it as uncharacterized. Lineage: Eukaryota; Metazoa; Chordata; Mammalia; Rodentia; Bathyergidae. The record is from RefSeq and is a predicted model, not a curated record.
CUCUUUGUUACUUAGUCUGACAGUAUAUACUGAGAGAGAGAGAGAGAGAGGGAGGGAGGGAGGGAGAGAGAGAGAGAGCGAGCACACCAUGGAGACACGGAGGUGAGCAGGAGAGGUUGAGGAAAGUCUCACAGAGUUGGGGCGUCUGCCCAAGUCUUCCCCAUGUGCCCAGCCAGAGCAGCCCUGGGAACCAAGGUGGAGGCCCAAAGGCUCCUGCAGUUGACAUGUGGUGACUACCGAAUGUGCCAGCAGCAAGUGCUUUGGGAGAGGCAGGAAUGCAGGUAGAAAGGAAAAGAAGAGGCAGAUCAUGGGUGUUGGGAGGUAGGUCUCAUCCUCGGCCUAAAGGAGACGCAGCAGUGGCUGCCAAGGGGAAUGAAUGGAGGAGGACAUAGCCUGGUGGGUGCAGGAAAAAGCCCCUUGGUGGGCACCUGGGCACCAGAGCCAAGCAGAUGCAUACAGAGGCCAAGGCACUGGGCCCAGAAGUUCAGCUGAGAGACCCACCUGGACUGGAAGAGGAAGAAAGUCCAGAGGCUUAGGGCAAGAGUUCACACCUGGGCACCUAUGGAAUCACCUGGGGGCCUCAUGACAGGCUGGUGCCUGCCUGGACUCUGCCCAGACCAGUUAAAUAAUGAUGGACAAGCUCCUCAGAGGAUUCUCUUUCGCAGCCAGAGUUGAGAAUCACUGAGGUUUUCAGCCAAGACAGCAGGAGGGGCUGGUGCGGUUGGCCUUGCCAUAGCUGCAGGACAUCCCUGUGGAGAGGUUUGUUCACUCACAGGUGUGGACCACCAUGACUGCCACCCUGGAGGCUUCCACCAAGCAGACCAUAACUGGACAGGAGGAUGCUCUGUGACGACACCGUCUCACCAGGGGAAUGAGUAGCACACUUUCGUUUCCUUGGAGCCAAACAACAAUCGUGCUCGCCUUUUACUGAGAGCUUCCUGAGUGCUGGGAACAGGGUCGGAUGCAUCAUCUUGUGGCAUCCCUCCCUCUGCCGACACACGGUACGUCUGCUGUCGUCACCUGGGUUUCUGAAGAUGGAAAAGCAGUUUGCCACAGUCAUGCGACAGCUCAAAUUGCUUGGCUGGGCAGUGCCAGGCUAUGACCUCAUGCGUCCUAUCCAUCUACAAUGCUGUGACUUUGACCCUCACACUGUACUGCUUUUUCUUCAGGUGAUUUCAGCUGUUUUUGUCUAGGAAGAUUUCUAAUUCUUCUAGAACUCAAAGUUCUUAGGGAAACGCCAUAUCAAGUAAGUGUUUUUAUAUC